RNAcentral lists this ribosomal RNA (1916 nucleotides) under Enterococcus faecium. RNAcentral's name for it is "partial 23S ribosomal RNA". It matches the Rfam family "Bacterial large subunit ribosomal RNA", at positions 311 to 2236 of the family's 2925-position model. Lineage: Bacteria; Bacillati; Bacillota; Bacilli; Lactobacillales; Enterococcaceae. The record is from RNAcentral.
AUAUGGUAGUUCUUUCAGAUAGUCGAAUGACUUGGAAAAGUCAGUCAAAGAGGGUAAAAACCCCGUAGACGAAAUGUGGAAGACACCUAGGAGGAUCCUGAGUACGGCGGAACACGAGAAAUUCCGUCGGAAUCCGGGAGGACCAUCUCCCAAGGCUAAAUACUCCCUAGUGACCGAUAGUGAACCAGUACCGUGAGGGAAAGGUGAAAAGCACCCCGGAAGGGGAGUGAAAUAGAACCUGAAACCGUGUGCCUACAACAAGUCAAAGCCCGUUAAUGGGUGAUGGCGUGCCUUUUGUAGAAUGAACCGGCGAGUUACGAUUGCAUGCGAGGUUAAGUUGAAGAGACGGAGCCGCAGCGAAAGCGAGUCUGAAUAGGGCGUUUGAGUAUGUAGUCGUAGACCCGAAACCAUGUGAUCUACCCAUGUCCAGGUUGAAGGUGCGGUAAAACGCACUGGAGGACCGAACCCACGUACGUUGAAAAGUGCGGGGAUGAGGUGUGGGUAGCGGAGAAAUUCCAAACGAACUUGGAGAUAGCUGGUUCUCUCCGAAAUAGCUUUAGGGCUAGCCUCGGAAUUGAGAAUGAUGGAGGUAGAGCACUGUUUGGACUAGGGGCCCAUCUCGGGUUACCGAAUUCAGAUAAACUCCGAAUGCCAUUCAUUCAUAUCCGGGAGUCAGACUGUGAGUGAUAAGAUCCAUAGUCGAAAGGGAAACAGCCCAGACCACCAGCUAAGGUCCCAAAAUAUAUGUUAAGUGGAAAAGGAUGUGGGGUUGCACAGACAACUAGGAUGUUGGCUUAGAAGCAGCCACCAUUUAAAGAGUGCGUAAUAGCUCACUAGUCGAGUGACCCUGCGCCGAAAAUGUACCGGGGCUAAACAUAUUACCGAAGCUGUGGAGUACACCUUUAGGUGUAUUGGUAGGAGAGCGUUCUAAGGGCGUUGAAGGCAGAUCGUGAGGACUGCUGGAGCGCUUAGAAGUGAGAAUGCCGGUAUGAGUAGCGAAAGACAGGUGAGAAUCCUGUCCACCGAAUGACUAAGGUUUCCUGGGGAAGGCUCGUCCGCCCAGGGUUAGUCGGGACCUAAGCCGAGGCCGACAGGCGUAGGCGAUGGAUAACAGGUUGAUAUUCCUGUACCCGUUGUUUUUGUUUGAGCAAUGGAGGGACGCAGGAGGCUAAGGAAUGCAGACGAUCGGAAAUGUCUGUCCAAGCAGUAAGUCUGAAGAGGAGUCAAAUGCUUCUUUUCUUAAGGACAAGCUGUGAUGGGGAGGGAAAUAAUAGUACCGAAGUUCCUGAUGUCACACUGCCGAGAAAAGCUUCUAGUGAGAAAACAGCGGCCCGUACCGCAAACCGACACAGGUAGUCGAGGAGAGAAUCCUAAGGUGAGCGAGAGAACUCUCGUUAAGGAACUCGGCAAAAUGACCCCGUAACUUCGGGAGAAGGGGUGCUGAUCAUACGAUCAGCCGCAGUGAAUAGGCCCAAGCGACUGUUUAUCAAAAACACAGGUCUCUGCAAAAUCGUAAGAUGAAGUAUAGGGGCUGACGCCUGCCCGGUGCUGGAAGGUUAAGAGGAGUGCUUAGCGCAAGCGAAGGUACGAAUUGAAGCCCCAGUAAACGGCGGCCGUAACUAUAACGGUCCUAAGGUAGCGAAAUUCCUUGUCGGGUAAGUUCCGACCCGCACGAAAGGCGUAACGAUUUGGGCACUGUCUCAACGAGAGACUCGGUGAAAUUUUAGUACCUGUGAAGAUGCAGGUUACCCGCGACAGGACGGAAAGACCCCAUGGAGCUUUACUGUAGUUUGAUAUUGAGUGUCUGUACCGCAUGUACAGGAUAGGUAGGAGCCGUAGAAAUCGGAACGCUAGUUUCGAUGGAGGCGCUGGUGGGAUACUACCCCUGCGUUAUGGCCACUCUAACCCGCACCACU